This 424-nucleotide long non-coding RNA is filed under the name Pan troglodytes (chimpanzee). RNAcentral describes it as "long non-coding RNA NONPTRT014006". Lineage: Eukaryota; Metazoa; Chordata; Mammalia; Primates; Hominidae. The record is from RNAcentral.
AGUUUGCAGUGAGCUGAGAUCGCACCACUGCACUCCAGCCUUGCACUUUGCAAAGAGUAUUAAUACUUUUAGACUAGCAAGAUGUAGAAGAAAUAUUGCAGUAUUUAUGAAAAAUGAUGGCCUUGGAGACUAGAAGAACUUUAGAGGAGGUGGGAAUUUAUUUUUAGUACCAUAUCUGCUCUAAUAAGUUUAACACUUCAUAUAAUAAGAUUCAUCAUAUUGUCAUCUAAUAUCUUUUCAAUCUAAUCCCCAGUUAAUUUUUUUUUUUUUGAGAUGGGUUGUUGUUCUGUUACCCAGGUUGGAGUGCAGUGGUCCAAUCUCAGCUCACUGCAACUUCUGCCUGCCCGGAUCAAGCUAUCCCCCCACCUCAGCCUCCUGAGCAGCUGAAACUACAGGUGCGUGCCACCACACCUAUCUACUUUUU